RNAcentral lists this ribosomal RNA (253 nucleotides) under uncultured bacterium. RNAcentral describes it as "partial 16S ribosomal RNA". It matches the Rfam family "Bacterial small subunit ribosomal RNA", at positions 524 to 776 of the family's 1533-position model. The record is from RNAcentral.
UACGGAGGGUGCGAGCGUUGUUCGGAAUCACUGGGCGUAAAGGGCGCGUAGGCGGCGAGGAUAGUCAACGGUGAAAGCUUGGGGCUCAACCCCGAGUCGGCCGUCGAUACUUCCUUGCUUGAGCACUGUAGAGGCAGAUGGAAUUCCGGGUGUAGCGGUGGAAUGCGUAGAGAUCCGGAAGAACACCGGUGGCGAAGGCGGUCUGCUGGGCAGUAGCUGACGCUGAUGCGCGACAGCGUGGGGAGCAAACAGG